AACGAACGCUGGCGGCAUGCCUAACACAUGCAAGUCGAACGAAUCCUUCGGGUUUACUGGUGCACUCGUCCGUAACGCGUUGGAACCUGCCUUUAAGUCUGGCAUAACUCCCCGAAUGGCGUGCUAAUACCGGCUCUUAUCCUCCAUCCGAAGAUUUAUCGCCUUUGGAUGGGCUUGCGUUGUAUUAGCUUGUUGUUAGCGUAAAAGCCUUCCACUGCUUGGUUCCAUAGCUGGUAUGUGAGGAUGAUCAGCGACACUGGUACUAAGACACGGUCCAGAAUACUACGGGAGGCAGGAGUGGGGAAUAUUGGACAAUGGGCGAAAGCCUGAACCAGCAAUGUCGGGUGAGUGAUGAAGGCCGUAGGGUUGUAAAGCUAGUUUACCCGGGAUGAUAAUGACAGUACCGGGAGAAUAAGCACCGGCUAACUCCGUG
RNAcentral lists this ribosomal RNA (433 nucleotides) under uncultured bacterium. RNAcentral describes it as "partial 16S ribosomal RNA". It matches the Rfam family "Bacterial small subunit ribosomal RNA", at positions 29 to 507 of the family's 1533-position model. The record is from RNAcentral.